This 513-nucleotide ribosomal RNA is filed under the name uncultured bacterium. RNAcentral describes it as "partial 16S ribosomal RNA". It matches the Rfam family "Bacterial small subunit ribosomal RNA", at positions 28 to 507 of the family's 1533-position model. The record is from RNAcentral.
GACGAACGCUGGCGGCGUGCUUAACACAUGCAAGUCGAACGAGAGCGUAGAGAAAGCUUGCUUUUUCUACAAUCUAGUGGCAAACGGGUGAGUAACGCGUAAACAACCUGCCCUACGGAUGGGGACAACAGCUGGAAACGGCUGCUAAUACCGAAUACGUUCCGAAAGUCGCAUGACUGUCGGAAGAAAGGAUGGCCUCUAUUUAUAAGCUAUCGCCGGAGGAGGGGUUUGCGUCUGAUUAGCUAGUUGGAGGGGUAACGGCCCACCAAGGCGACGAUCAGUAGCCGGUCUGAGAGGAUGAACGGCCACAUUGGAACUGAGACACGGUCCAGACUCCUACGGGAGGCAGCAGUGGGGAAUCUUCCGCAAUGGGCGAAAGCCUGACGGAGCAACGCCGCGUGAGUGAAGACGGCCUUCGGGUUGUAAAGCUCUGUUAUACGGGACGAAUAAUCUUGUGGUUAAUACCCAUGAGAAGUGACGGUACCGUAAGAGAAAGCCACGGCUAACUACGUG